RNAcentral lists this transfer RNA (87 nucleotides) under Montanilutibacter psychrotolerans. Its description in RNAcentral is "Lysobacter sp. ZS60 tRNA-Leu". It matches the Rfam family "tRNA". From Rfam's summary of the family: Transfer RNA (tRNA) molecules are approximately 80 nucleotides in length. Their secondary structure includes four short double-helical elements and three loops (D, anti-codon, and T loops). Lineage: Bacteria; Pseudomonadati; Pseudomonadota; Gammaproteobacteria; Lysobacterales; Lysobacteraceae. The record is from RNAcentral.
GCCCGAAUGGCGAAAUCGGUAGACGCAGCGGACUUAAAAUCCGCCAGCUUUGCGGCUGUGCCGGUUCGAGUCCGGCUUCGGGCACCA